GCCUAUAUGAAGUCGGAAUUGCUAGUAAUCGCGGAUCAGCAUGCCGCGGUGAAUACGUUCCCGGGCCUUGUACACACCGCCCGUCACACCAUGAGAGUCGAUAACACCCGAAGCCUGUAGUCUAACAGCAAUGAGGACGCAGUCGAAGGUGGGAUUGAUAAUUAGGGUGAAGUCGUAACAAGGUAGC
This 187-nucleotide ribosomal RNA is filed under the name uncultured bacterium. RNAcentral's name for it is "partial 16S ribosomal RNA". It matches the Rfam family "Bacterial small subunit ribosomal RNA", at positions 1314 to 1500 of the family's 1533-position model. The record is from RNAcentral.